GGUUGAUCCUGCCGGACCCGACUGCUAUCGGAUUGAGAUUUAGCCAUGCGAGUUGAACGUCCCUUGAUUGCAGGGGGCGUAGCAUACGGCUCAGUAACACGUAGUCAACCUGCCCUGGAGACGCGGAUAACCCCGGGAAACUGGGACCAAUCCGUGAUAGGUCGCCCCAUCUGGAAGGAGGGGCGGCCCAAAGGGGAAUUGUGGGCUUCCACUUUUCUCGCUCUAGGAUGGGACUGCGGCCGAUCAGGCUGUUGGCGGGGUAAUGGCCCACCAAACCUGUAACCGGUACGGGCCUUGAGAGAGGUGGCCCGGAGAUGGACACUGAGACAAGGGUCCAGGUCCUACGGGGCGCAGCAGGCGCGAAACCUUCGCAAUGUGCGAAAGCAUGACGAGGUUAAUCCGAGUGGCUUCCGCUGAGGAAGUCUUUUGCCGACUGUAAAAAGGUCGGAGAAUAAGGGGAGGGCAAGUCUGGUGUCAGCCGCCGCGGUAAUACCAGCUCCUCGAGUGGUCGGGGCGAUUAUUGGGCCUAAAGCAUCCGUAGCUGGUUCCGUAGGUCUCCUGCAAAAUCCAGUCGCUCAACGAUUGGCCCGCAGGAGAUACCGCGGGACUAGGAGGCGGGAGAGGUGGACGGUACUCCACGUGUAGGGGUAAAAUCCUUUGAUCCGUGGAAGACCACCAGUGGCGAAGGCGGUCCACCAGAACGCGCUCGACGGUGAGGGAUGAAAGCUGGGGGAGCGAACCGGAUUAGAUACCCGGGUAGUCCCAGCCGUAAACGAUGCUAGCUAGAUGAUCCGAUCGUAGAUCAUGAUCGGAGUGUCGCAGGGAAGCCGUUAAGCUAGCCGCCUGGGGAGUACGGUCGCAAGACUGAAACUUAAAGGAAUUGGCGGGGUAGCACCACAAGGGGUGAAGCCUGCGGUUCAAUUGGAGUCAACGCCAGGAAACUUACCAGGAGAGACAGCAGAUUGAGGGUCAGACUGAAGAUCUUACCUGACGAGCUGAGAGGAGGUGCAUGGCCGUCGCCAGCUCGUGCCGUGAGGCGUCCUGUUAAGUCAGGCAACGAGCGAGACCCAAAGGGCGA
Molecule: ribosomal RNA, 1078 nt
Filed under: uncultured Nitrososphaerota archaeon
Lineage: Archaea; Thermoproteati; Nitrososphaerota
Description: bacterial SSU rRNA
Rfam family: Archaeal small subunit ribosomal RNA
Source: RNAcentral